Molecule: long non-coding RNA, 1524 nt
Organism: Anarrhichthys ocellatus (wolf-eel)
Lineage: Eukaryota; Metazoa; Chordata; Actinopteri; Perciformes; Anarhichadidae
Exons: 2
Source: RefSeq, a predicted model, not a curated record
CCCAUAUAAACACACAGUGUUGGAUUUAUUUCUCAUUAUAAAUGUAUAUUAUGUAUAAUAUUAGGAUCCUUAUGAUGAGGCACACAGCUGUCUUUCCGUUUAUGAAUGUGGAUUUUAAACCGUGAGACCAUCAAUAGAUUACUUUUAAUUUAAAGUAAAGUAUCAGUUCAAAACCUCCAUUCAGUUUUCUCUCUUUUAUUUCUCAUUAAAUUUAAAGUCGUCUUGUUAUAAACUAUGAUGACGUUUUUAUAUUUCAUUGGCUAAUCAAUAAUGUGAUUAAACCCAAAAAGUAACGGAUCGAUUCAUAGAUAACUACGAGCCUCAACAUGUUCCAGUGGUCUAAAUAUGAUCAAAGUCUGUAUUUUAUUAUUGUUUGAUUUUGAAUUAUUUUAUUUAACUGAUUUAUUAUUUAGUGUUCAGUUUACUUUCAAAUAGAACAAAGUUGUAAUCUGUGUCUUUGGUGGUUUAGAUAAAUGAUUGAGAAUGUAUCGCUCAUUCUGUUGGUUUUUAUUUAUAUGAUUCUCUGACAGUUUAAAGUCUAAACUAGACCUGGUGACUAGAAGUCACAUCUCUGUCUUUUUAGUCUCAAUAGCGAAACAUGACAAAUAUGUAUUUGUGUAUUUUCUACAAAGUAAAUUUUGAGUUGUCAGAUGUCAUAAACGUUUUCAUUAAAACAGAGUAAAGACAGCAGCAACAUUCUGUCUGUUUGACUCUUUACUGCCGUCUGUUUAAAGUAACAUGAAGGAAGUGAUCUAAUAAGUCCAUCAUCUGGUCAGUGAGAUGAAACUAACGUUGUUGUUGUUGUUGUUGUUGUUUUAGACGGAGAACUGAACGUUCUGGAAGAUAUUCUGACUGAAGCUCCGGAUCAAGACGACGAGCUCUACAACCCUGAGACAGAACGAGCUGUCAGCGACAAGAAAGGAAUAAAGAGGAAGAGUGAGCGCUCAGGUAGCCAGGAUGUAAAGAGGCUCCGCCCCUCUACAGGCCACACCCCCUCAAGGUCUUCUUCCACCAAUAAGAGAGCCCCGGGGCCACCGCUCUCCUCCUCUUCCUCCUCCUCUAAGAAAGCGCCGUCCAGCCCCCGUGCUCGCCACGCCGCCGCCGCCGCUAGCUACCGUCACGAGUACUACGAGGAGAGGAAAGUUCGGCGAGGAGCGCGAGAGGCGACCAGGAGCCGCGGGGGGGAGGAGGUCCGACGCAGAGAGUCCCAGAGAGGCCUGGAGGCUCUGAGCCAGGUACUGAUACUACGAUUAAUACCUACAGUACACAAACGGUACAUUCACAUACCACCUUUCAGUUUGAUACUAGUAUUACAACCUCUUAAGCACGACGCCCCCGAAUUUGGGGGCUCUCGGGCUCAGCCCCACUGAAAAUGUUGUCCGCAAAAUGGACUUAUUGUUCGCCAAUAUUGUGGAUUUGUACAUUUCAUUUACCGGAUUAAACAGCAACGUAUGGGCAACACUAUCAUAUAAGUCACUUUUUACACACUCCAAACACAGCUAUAGACUACUAGUAUAAGCAUCU